This is a non-coding RNA of Armillaria luteobubalina, 96 nucleotides long. Lineage: Eukaryota; Fungi; Basidiomycota; Agaricomycetes; Agaricales; Physalacriaceae. The record is from the annotation of a GenBank genome assembly.
UCUCUGGUAGUAUACUGGUUAGUACACGCGCCUGUCAUUCGAUGUCGAAGAACUGACGUUGCGCGCGAAAGCUGGGUUUGACUCCCAGCCAGAGAG